This 660-nucleotide long non-coding RNA is filed under the name Salmo salar (Atlantic salmon). RNAcentral's name for it is "lncRNA (ENSSSAG00000119982.1)". The record is from RNAcentral. Lineage: Eukaryota; Metazoa; Chordata; Actinopteri; Salmoniformes; Salmonidae.
AGUAGGCUACACAGUGGAUACACUUUUUGACAGGCAUGAAUGAUGCUCAACAAUGUCAGCUGCCAAACAAGUCCUGCAAGUUUGAACCACCUAGCCUGUAAAUGGGUUAGAACCACACUUGUUGGCCAAUAUUCAAGUCUCAUUCUUUUCCAUCAUACAAAACACAUCUGCCCAGAAGUUGUUCAUCUUCAGUUUUCAGAAAGCGAGGAGGAGAAGGUAUUCGUGCAUCAUUUCUCAUUUGAGAAGGCUACAAUCCGCAGGUCCUAGCUGACAACGUCUCGGAUAUAGGACAAUUUAUUCUCAGGGACAUCACAAAUAUGGAGCCUCUGAUGAUUCUCCUUCUGCUAGCAGGACUAGUAGGGAAGACAUCAGCGACAAACACAACGGCAAUGGCUACAAAACCUAGAGAAGCUAGGUCUAUUUGCAAGCUGCACAGCCGUCUCCCAGCAAUUGCCUCUCUUCAUCUCUCCCGUGAAGCUUUUCUUUUGGUGUCCACAUGGUCCUAAAUCUAGUUGGCAGACACUACUAAACAGCCUACCCGUCCGCUUUGAGGCAUCCGCAUAGUCCUAAAGCACACAAGGCACGUUUUUGUAUUACAGUGCAGUGAUAGAACUGGGGGGACAAAAAUGCUAUUUCAGAAUGUGUGUGUGUGGGGGGGGG